This 440-nucleotide ribosomal RNA is filed under the name uncultured bacterium. RNAcentral's name for it is "partial 16S ribosomal RNA". It matches the Rfam family "Bacterial small subunit ribosomal RNA", at positions 338 to 795 of the family's 1533-position model. The record is from RNAcentral.
CCUACGGGUGGCAGCAGUAGGGAAUAUUGCUCAAUGGGGGAAACCCUGAAGCAGCAACGCCGCGUGGAGGAUGAAGGUUUUCGGAUUGUAAACUCCUUUUGUUAGAGAAGAUAAUGACGGUAUCUAACGAAUAAGCACCGGCUAACUCCGUGCCAGCAGCCGCGGUAAUACGGAGGGUGCAAGCGUUACUCGGAAUCACUGGGCGUAAAGAGCGCGUAGGCGGGAUAGCAAGUCAGAUGGGAAAUCCUAGGGCUUAACCAUAGAACUGCAUUUGAAACUGUUAUUCUAGAGUAUGGGAGAGGUAGGUGGAAUUCUUGGUGUAGGGGUAAAAUCCGUAGAGAUCAAGAGGAAUACUCAUUGCGAAGGCGACCUGCUAGAACAUAACUGACGCUGAUGCGCGAAAGCGUGGGGAGCAAACAGGAUUAGAUACCCCGGUAGUC